AGCGAGGAGGAAGGGGUUGUGGUUAAUAACCGCAGUCAUUGACGUUACUCGCAGAAGAAGCACCGGCUAACUCCGUGCCAGCAGCCGCGGUAAUACGGAGGGUGCAAGCGUUAAUCGGAAUUACUGGGCGUAAAGCGCACGCAGGCGGUUUGUUAAGUC
This 159-nucleotide ribosomal RNA is filed under the name Cronobacter turicensis 564. RNAcentral's name for it is "Small Subunit Ribosomal RNA; ssuRNA; SSU rRNA". It matches the Rfam family "Bacterial small subunit ribosomal RNA", at positions 438 to 589 of the family's 1533-position model. The record is from RNAcentral. Lineage: Bacteria; Pseudomonadati; Pseudomonadota; Gammaproteobacteria; Enterobacterales; Enterobacteriaceae.